RNAcentral lists this ribosomal RNA (264 nucleotides) under Phaseolus vulgaris (common bean). The record is from RNAcentral. Lineage: Eukaryota; Viridiplantae; Streptophyta; Magnoliopsida; Fabales; Fabaceae.
UCGAUGCCUCAAACAAUUCCACCCGCGAAUACGUACCAAACACACAACAACGCGCAAGGCCAGCGGGGCACGCAAGUUCUCCCACGACCAAGUGCGUUGUCGAGAGCGGGGGUGGGCGUCUUGAUGCCUUGUGCAUCCGGUCGCAAACCCGUGUCUCCCGACAAAAACUAACCCCGGCGUUUUACGCGCCAAGGAAAACGAAGCUGUUAGGUGAGGCAAACGGGGGACGUGUCCCGCGGGCGCCUUCACGACGACAUGUUAUGU